UGAACGCUGGCGGCGUGCCUAAUACAUGCACGUCGCGCGAACAGACGAGGAGCUUGCUCCUCUGACGUUAGCGGCGGACGGGUGAGUAACACGUGGAUAACCUACCUAUAAGACUGGGAUAACUUCGGGAAACCGGAGCUAAUACCGGAUAAUAUAUUUAACCGCAUGGUUCAAUAGUGAAAGACGGUUUUGCUGUUACUUAUAGAUGGAUCCGCGCCGCAUUAGCUAGUUGGUAAGGUAACGGCUUACCAAGGCAACGAUGCGUAGCCGACCUGAGAGGGUGAUCGGCCACACUGGAUCUGAGACACGGUCCAGACUCCUACGGGAGGCAGCAGUAGGGAAUCUUCCGCAAUGGGCGAAAGCCUGACGGAGCAACGCCGCGUGAGUGAUGAAGGUCUUCGGAUCGUAAAACUCUGUUAUUAGGGAAGAACAAAUGUGUAAGUAACUAUGCACGUCUUGACGGUACCUAAUCAGAAAGCCACGGCUAACUACGUG
Molecule: ribosomal RNA, 495 nt
Filed under: uncultured bacterium
Lineage: Bacteria
Description: partial 16S ribosomal RNA
Rfam family: Bacterial small subunit ribosomal RNA
Source: RNAcentral